Molecule: ribosomal RNA, 119 nt
Filed under: Myotis brandtii (Brandt's bat)
Lineage: Eukaryota; Metazoa; Chordata; Mammalia; Chiroptera; Vespertilionidae
Source: RNAcentral
GCCUAUGGCCAUACCACCCUGAACAUGCCAGAUCUCGUCUGAUCUCGGAAGCUAAGCAGGGUCAGGCCUGGUUAGUACUUGGAUGGGAGACCACCUGGGAAUACUGGGUGCUGUAGGCU